AGAACAAUGCGGGAGUUGCAGAGAGAGGUGUCCUGUGUUUGUUCCCAGUCUUCCUUCAUUCACCUGCACCUGCCCCUGCCCUGCUUUGGCCAACAUGUUCUAUGCAGGCAGCAGAGUUCAUAUCAAGGGCCCAUGUUUUAACUGAAUAUAACGAUUUUUUUUUUUUUCACCUUGGAAGAGUCUUAGAGGCAAGAUUAGAAUGUUAAUCUAAAAGGAGUGCAAAUUUCUUCAACCAUUCCCACAGAGGAAGGUCUACUCUGUGAAAAGGAAAUGAUCAUACAUAAUUCACACAUUUGCUGUACGGAUUUAAUUAAAUGAUAGACAAAAAGUAGAGUGGCACAAGUCAAAAAAUAGUAACAACAAAAACAAUUUCAAAAUAAGCAACAGCAAUAAAUGUUACCUACUAUUUUACGAAUGAAAAUAUUGAGACCAAUAAAGGCAUUAUAGUAUAUGUAGCCUUGGAAUCAGAAGACCAAGAACAUACAAGAGAACAUAGCCUUGGAAUCAGAAGACCAAGAAACAAUUUAACUCUGCCCCUCUAGAGCUCUGAGAACUUGGGCAAGCCUUUUACCCUCUGUGAGUUUCAGUUUCCUCAUUUAUUUAAUUGAAAUAAUAAUAC
This 619-nucleotide long non-coding RNA is filed under the name Pan troglodytes (chimpanzee). Its description in RNAcentral is "lincRNA". Lineage: Eukaryota; Metazoa; Chordata; Mammalia; Primates; Hominidae. The record is from RNAcentral.